Sander lucioperca (pikeperch) is the source of this 143-nucleotide long non-coding RNA. RefSeq lists it as uncharacterized. The transcript is spliced from 3 exons. Lineage: Eukaryota; Metazoa; Chordata; Actinopteri; Perciformes; Percidae. The record is from RefSeq and is a predicted model, not a curated record.
AUUCUCUGUUUAAGGGUAUUUGCAUAUAACCUGAUCCCUGUGUGUUUCAUAUCAAAAUGUUCAGACCAAACUCAACUUUCUGUAUAGUGACGCCCAAAAUUGUUCCAGAGCAAUUAAAGUGAUGUCAUUUUCUGCAGCACCAA